RNAcentral lists this ribosomal RNA (464 nucleotides) under Vreelandella stevensii. Its description in RNAcentral is "partial 16S ribosomal RNA". It matches the Rfam family "Bacterial small subunit ribosomal RNA", at positions 338 to 794 of the family's 1533-position model. Lineage: Bacteria; Pseudomonadati; Pseudomonadota; Gammaproteobacteria; Oceanospirillales; Halomonadaceae. The record is from RNAcentral.
CCUACGGGGGGCAGCAGUGGGGAAUAUUGGACAAUGGGCGAAAGCCUGAUCCAGCCAUGCCGCGUGUGUGAAGAAGGCCUUCGGGUUGUAAAGCACUUUCAGUGGGGAAGAAAGCCUUGGGGCUAAUACCCUCGAGGAAGGACAUCACCCACAGAAGAAGCACCGGCUAACUCCGUGCCAGCAGCCGCGGUAAUACGGAGGGUGCGAGCGUUAAUCGGAAUUACUGGGCGUAAAGCGCGCGUAGGCGGUCUGAUAAGCCGGUUGUGAAAGCCCCGGGCUCAACCUGGGAACGGCAUCCGGAACUGUCAGGCUAGAGUGCAGGAGAGGAAGGUAGAAUUCCCGGUGUAGCGGUGAAAUGCGUAGAGAUCGGGAGGAAUACCAGUGGCGAAGGCGGCCUUCUGGACUGACACUGACGCUGAGGUGCGAAAGCGUGGGUAGCAAACAGGAUUAGAUACCCUAGUAUC